RNAcentral lists this ribosomal RNA (440 nucleotides) under uncultured bacterium. RNAcentral describes it as "partial 16S ribosomal RNA". It matches the Rfam family "Bacterial small subunit ribosomal RNA", at positions 338 to 795 of the family's 1533-position model. The record is from RNAcentral.
CCUACGGGUGGCAGCAGUGGGGAAUAUUGCACAAUGGGGGAAACCCUGAUGCAGCGACGCCGCGUGAGUGAAGAAGUAAUUCGGUAUGUAAAGCUCUAUCAGCAGGGAAGAAAAUGACGGUACCUGAGUAAGAAGCCCCGGCUAACUACGUGCCAGCAGCCGCGGUAAUACGUAGGGGGCAAGCGUGAUCCGGAUGUACUGGGUGUAAGGGGAGCGUAGACGGCAGUGCAAGUCUGGCGUGAAAGGCGGGGGCUCAACCCCCGGACUGCUCUGGAAACUGGACGGCUGGAGUGCAGGAGAGGUAAGUGGAAUUCCUAGUGUAGCGGUGAAAUGCGGAGAUAUGAGGAGGAACACCAGUGGCGAAGGCGGCUUACUGGACUGUAACUGACGUUGAGGUUCGAAAGCGUGGGGAGCAAACAGGAUUAGAUACCCCUGUAGUC